UACGUGAGGGGCGAACGUUGUUCGGUGUCACUGGGCUUAAAGGGCGCGUAGGUGGCUGUGUAAGUAACGUGUGAAAGCCCUCGGCUUACCCGGGGAAUUGCGCGUUAUACUGCACGGCUUGAGGAUCUCAGGGGAAGGGGGAACUCCGAGUGUAGCGGUGAAAUGCGCAGAUAUUCGGGGGAAGGCCGGCGGCGAAGGCGCCCUUCUGGGAGAUUCCUGACACUGAGGCGCGAAAGCGUGGGGAGCAAACAGG
This 253-nucleotide ribosomal RNA is filed under the name uncultured bacterium. Its description in RNAcentral is "partial 16S ribosomal RNA". It matches the Rfam family "Bacterial small subunit ribosomal RNA", at positions 524 to 776 of the family's 1533-position model. The record is from RNAcentral.